ACAGACACCGAAGGACCGUUGAAGGCCCACAGGAGCCUGGAAAAGGAAGGUGUUGCUGAGGUGGGGCCGUCUGCAUCAUCUGGGCAUCGGAGAGAAGCCAGUUGGCAGCAAACCGAACGUUGCUUUGGAAAUGAGUCUUCACGCACUUUUGAAUCUUUGUCUCUUUGGCUGACAGUCAGGAAAAGUCGCUUGAUUUCCCUGCUUCUUGCCUAGAAUCAGAGUAGGAUGGCCUACCCUAUCCAUGGGCAUUUUGAGUUCAAUUUGAAACUCAUGCGCAUGCCCUCUGCUGGCCGUUGGCGCGCAAUGACAUUAGCGUUGUACUCGUGCAGGAUUGGUUGUCAGCCCCCUUGGAAUCAUUGCUCAGAGAUUUAAAGAAAUCACUUAUCCCUGUCUGAAGGCAAAGGAAGAAAGGCACCAUCUGCCAGAGAGGACCAGACAUGAGUCUGAAGUGUGCUUUCUUCUCAUUUGACACGAUCUUCAGAAAAAUCACAGAGGACAUUCUAAACAUCUGCUAUCCUGAUUGCAGCUUGUCUGGCUUGAAAAGUCAUCUUGAGGCUCCUGUGGGCCUUCAACGGUCCUUCGGUGUCUGUUGGUCGAUCGGUCGGGUCGGUUGUCUGGAGGAAUCGUCUCAUAACUGGGGCCUGCCUGUGUUUUGUGAGCUCUGUCCACAGAGUUCUGCCAAGCAGGAGAAGGGUCCAGGGGUCACGGAAACCCUUAAGGAAAGCCGUUUGCACAGAAGAUGAGCAUUUUCUGUGAGUCAUGAGUACUGGAGGUGAGGAAGAUGUGAGCCACACACCACAAGGAAGGUGCCCUGGGCCAGGCACCAUCUUUGUGCCAGAAGAGAAGAGACACACCCACCAGAGCCAAGACAGAGCCACUACACUCUGUCCUUGAAGGGACAGCCAGAUGACUGCUCCCUAAAACCACACCCACUCUGUGCCUCCUUGACUCGUGCUGCUUUCUUUAUCUUACUGAAGUGUGCCCAGUGAAGGCAGGCUGAUGCUUUGGGUCGGCAGGAAUGGGACACUCCAGCUACCGUGGAUCUCCUACCGAAGGUGCUUCCCUCGGUCUGAGCGUGGCCUCAGUGGGAAGGCCUCACCACCACAGAAAGUGCCAUACUGAAGGCAUGCCGGAUCCUUGGCACCCAGUGUGUUUCUGGACCUGUGCCCUUCAGCCCAGGACCCUGUGCUCACUGGCUACUUGUUCACAUGACACUGGAAACCUGUGCCCUUUGUAGAUGCCCUCUCUGUUGGUGUGAGAUGGUGGGGACAUGGGUCCCACUCAUGGUCUGGUAAUGUGUUCCUACCCGGGAAGGGAGAGUCCACAGCAGUGUCUGGUAGGGUACCUGCAUACCACGUGUGACUGUGUUGAGGUUCCUUGCUCAUGGCUAUGAUGUCAUUACUCCUCCUCCUCCCCCUUCUCCUUCUCUUCCUCCCCCUUCUCCUUCUCUUCAUCCCCCUCCCCCUCCCCCUCCUCCUCCUCCUCCUCCUCCUCCUCCCUCUCCUCUUCCUCCUCUCCCUCCCUCUCCUCUUCCUCUUCCUCGUCGUCCUCCUGGUUUGGAGUUAACAUCCUUGCUGUCUUCCCAAGACUACUUAGCCCUCCUGUUGGAAAGGCAAGAAAAGCAAAGGCUCCCUGAAGGUCCUCUCUCUCGUUCUCGGCAGCACCUGAUUGGCUGACUUCACCUGAAAGCCACUGCUCUGGUUCUCUCACCCUCCUGAGGAGUGGCCCUGUAUUCUCUUGGGUCUGGAGAGGGUGUGCUUCCUGUUGAACGACCAUGGAGCCCACUCUGUGGCCAUGGAGCCUGCUGAGGAGUCAGAGCCAGGCCUUUCCACCAAACACCACAGAGCCAGAAUCCUCCUCUCUCCUGUCCUGGUGGACACCAGGCACAGGGAGAGGCGAGGCCUGGAGGAUGUGUGGAGCUGGUUGUGCCCUAGGCAGGAUGCCCAAAGCCCAGUAGACCCUGGGGAUCAGGGCCUGCCUGCCACCAAUGGCCCCUUUGCCAUAGUGAGUGCUACUGAAGCUUAGGUUGUAAAUGUCACCUCAUGCUCAAAUGCUCCUCCCAUCCCAGGAGGUAAGGAGCUGUGUCUCUUUCCCCACCUGGAAGGUAUUGGGAAGUUCCUAAGAGAGCAGCCCUCACCCGUGGCUCCUGUGCCUGGCUCACCUGGGACCUAACGUUCUGAGGAAAUAGGUGUAUUCUGCUCUGUCUAGGUCGUAGUCUCUGGUCUUUGGUUCAUUGUCCUGUGAUACAAUUUCUAAGGGCUGUUUAGUAAUUCUUUUGUUCUUCUGGGAGAUAGCAAGAAACGGGGAGCAGUGUUAAUAACCGGGCCUCUGAGCAGGUGCAGUGAAGGAGCCCAGAAAUGGGUAUGUGUGGAAUGCCAGGAAGCCUCCCUCCCCAUCCAGGUCAGGGGGCAGUGGUCGGGCCAGGCCCCUGGAAAGCUGUGGUGCAGGCCUUGCAGGCUGGGACCUGCAGCAGGUCCUCCUGCUGACUGAGGACUGCAGCCAGCUCAUGGAUGUUAGAUGGGCGGGGGAACUGGACUGCCUCACAUCCUUUGUAGGUUUUCCAAUGCCUCGCCCUGUGAUGUGUCAUGCUGCUGCCGCACAACCUGGCUUCAGAGGUACCAGGGAGCAGGAUGAUGCUGGGAUGGUAAAGGAGAGCAUCUCUGCAGGCAAACAGGGACUCCACUGCUGACCCCAGCCUCUGACUCCCUUCACCUUGCUGCCAGGGCUAUGUCUGAGUGCCCACACUUUGGACAGCCCCUGGAAUAUCUGGCUGGGCUCAUUUUGCCUCUGCUUAGCCCCCCUCCCACACACACACAUCCACUCCCCACAUCAGUGUGAAGAGCCUGACACACUUCUGUCUCUCUAGUUUCUAAUCCACUGCCCUUCCUGGUUUCCUUUGAUGGAGGCAUAGGUAAACCUGGGCUGUAUACCCAGUUGCUGAGUGCUCACUUAGGCAAGGAGAUUCUUAAACUCAGACAGGAGGACCUGGUGGCAAGGAUGGUGGUGCCUUCACAUAUUGCCUUUGUCCCGAUUGUCUUGGCAUCUUGGCAUUUAUGACCUUGUUAUGACCUUCAUCUUGCUGGUAACAGCACUGGUCCUUGUAGACUCCUUGACUUUCAGAUUGUGACUUCUUCCCCUUCCUGACAGGAUCUGUGGUGGGCGUGGUACAGGGGUGGGCUGGAGAUGGGGCAGCAGACAUACCUACCCCUUCCUGUGUGCUCAGGGGAACUUGGCUUUGUGGUCCCUGCCUGGGCCUUGCAUCUAUCCUUGUGCAGCUGUGUUCCUUGCAUUGGCCGCAGCAAAGCCCUGUCUUGGUUGUCAGAAACUGUGAUGUGCUGUGUGAUGUGACUGGCUGGCACUCUUGAGUCACAUUGGUCCUCCAUAGACAGAGCUCUGUUCCAGGGUCACCGUGCACUGUGGCCUAGACCUCCUUGCCCUUCCUCACUGUCAGGAGUGAAGCUGAUGAAGUACAGAUCACAAUGGGUUCACUCCCAGGAUCCUCUGCCCUCCCUUGGCUGGCAGCCUCCUUCCCUCUUGGUCUCUAUGAAGUCUCCUGUGGUCCUCUCUGGGGUUGCUGAUUGAUUCUUCUCUUUUUUUCACUCUUCUCCCAUGUGGAGGGACUUGGAGAAUCUCUGAGCACCAUGGAGCCAGCAGCCCCUCACAUAGCCAGUUGUCCCCUGGCCUCCUUGUUCCCUGGGAUAGGCAGGCAUUCCUGCCCUGCUGGAUCCUGAAAGUGGGUGUUUGCCAGGUGAGGAUGUGCGUCCUGAUAACUGCUUCAACAGAAAAGAUGAGUCCCUGAUAAAUAAGCAGUCAUUGAUUGAAAAUAGCUCUGGACUUGGGAAGUCCAAGGCCAAAGUCCUGACAGAUGGAUCACCUGGUGCGAGCCCAGAGCUCCUGAACAGCACCUUAGAGCUGAGUUCCAUAGGCAGAGGUUAACAGAGCCACCCCUGACCACGUUCUUCAGGACACUAGUCACAUUCAUGAAGGGGUUUCUGUGAGUGUGUGUGUGUGUGUGUGUGUGUGUGUGUGUGUGUGUGUGUGUGUGUGCGCGUGCGUGUGUGUUCACGCUCGCGCACUCGCAAGGGCGUGCGUGCAUGAGUGAGUAUCUUUUGGCUCAUCUACACAACCUUGUUCCUUUUCUCACAGUGGAAAUUAGGUUGUAACAUAUGAAUUUUGAGGGACACCAACUGAAACUCAAAAUGAAAGGGUUCCAGGUUGUGUCUGUGGCCUCUGAACAGAGGGGCAAAGGCCAGGGGUGGGAAGGGGGAUGGUCCCUGAUUAGUGGGAUCCUGGCUUAUGUGGAAUGGGUGACCAGGACCUCGGGCACUGGACAGGGUGCUGUGGAGCAGGCCUGACAGCACUGAAAGCCAUUUCCCCUGUCUUAGUGGAUGAUAGUGCAGGGUGGGGUAGGGCAGACUCCCUUUCUGCCUCAGCAGGACACAGCUUCAGCUCUGUCAGCCUCUCAGAUCUUAGCUCUGUCUGUAACUGUUCCUCCAUUCACUUUCCAAAGAAGUUCUGCAGCUCCCUCUAGAUAGGAGCUUAUCAGAGUCACUCUCCUACCUUCCUGGUCCAUGGGGCACAGGCCCAGAGGUCCUGAUGUUCCCUUCACCCUCCCAGGUGGCUGUCCUUGUCCUUCCUACCGGUUCUUGCCUUUGCCAGGCUUCUUCAGGAGCUGGAGGUGCUUAGGGGCAGACAGGGAGGGGACAGUGACAUUGGCAACUCUUUAGGCAAUGUUUGCAAUGUGCCUCCUGGGGCCUCUCCAGGUAGCUCUUCACUGGAGGUCAGGCCAUUCCUCAGGGCUGAGUCAGGAGCGUAGCUUUCACCACCAGCAUUGCCUCCCGAGGCCUGUGCACAUGUGAGCCUGGUCUCUGUGGUGCCCAGUUUGCUUCUGUCUUUGUCUACUUCACCCUAUCUCUUUCUCUGAGGACAUUUUCUUGGUUUCUCUGAGUUCCAACAUUCCUUCAGACAGUCUGUGGAGGAAAGAAGAGGAAAGACUGUGUCCCUUCUCCGUUGAGUUUUGCCUUGGCUUCCCUUGGUGUCUGGUUCUUGUCAACCUGCUUGGCCAACUGGAAGUUACCAACUUCUGUCCCAUGUCAGACCAUAGAGGCCUACUGCUCACCAUAGAAAAGAGAAAGUGCUAGAGACAUGGCUUGGAGAUUAACUUUUUCCAUUCUCCACAGGACCAGAUCUCAGAUCCUCACACCCCUGUCACAUGCCCAGCUUUCCUGCCAACUCCUGCAAACCCAUCUGUGGAGGGAUGGAGACAGGAGGUUAUCUGGGACUUGCCUGCUGUUAGCUUUGUGGAAUUGUGAAACCAGAGCUCAGGAAGAAACCCUGCCCUAAGGGACUCUGCAGAAGGACAGAGGAGGGUAUUUUUUUACCUUCCUUAGGAUCUGCGAGCGACCAGGUCAGCCCAGGGUAUACACAAGAAGUCUAGUAAAGGAAGUGAGAAAAGCCAAUGGCUCAGUAACCCCACGGGAGCAAUCCUUCCCCUCCACCCUCAUAUGUCUCUUUUUGUUCUUGAGUGAGCAAGAAAAGCAUCAAGUUCUUCUCCCUGGAGCUUCAGUCAUUUGUGAGAACUCCUAAGUCCACAAAUCUGGGCCUGUGAUCUGAAAGUCACCCUGUGCCCAUUUGCCCAACUGGACCUCCACCUCCUUAUAUCAGUGUUGAGAUGGGAAGUUUCCCGCACACAGACCUGUACUCUCCAGGAUCCUCACAGCUAAAUAUUUCUGUGCUCCCUCCCUGUAAGCUAAAUAUUCACUGAUCCUCCUUUUUCCUAGGAUAGUCCUCCCUGGAGUUCACCUGAUCUCACAGGUGCCUUAGUAUUUAUCCAGAGUUUCUUUUGUGUUCCUAAAGUGCUAGUUUAAAAUACAUGUUUGCAAAACUGAACACACUAUCAUACAUUCACAAUAUGUUAGAACUGGCAGAAAGUAGUCUCAAACCUUAGGCAAUGGGGUUGUCAUGUUCAUGUCAUGACCUGGUCCUACAGAAAUUUAGAAGCCUCUAGAGCCUCCUGUAGUCAUUGGGACUGCUUUCUGUGGUAUACCUGUGUCCUGAGGCUCCCACCAAGCCUGUGGGCGUGUUAUCUUUUCAGUCUGAUUGUCUGCUCCUGUGGUGUGUUUGAGUGUGGAGGUGCUGAGCAUACCUUCCAAUCUCUACACAGCAUCAUGUGCAGCCUCUUCCUGUGCUGUUUUCACUCUGCCUUCUAACUCUUGGCUCCGCAUGUUUUCCUGAUAGGGCUCACUGGACUUUUGACAGAGUGCCUAGCAUCCAAAGGUAGAGUCAGGGGUCUUGUCUUGUUAUCCUUUUGACAGAGGAGAGGAAGAAGGGCCAGCCUAUCUGGGUUCAUGCAGUGUAGUCUCUUUCCUUCAUUGGGCUCAGGGGACCUUUUGACUGUGUGCAAGGGCUGGGCUAAACAGUAGAAGCUUGUGGGUCCCAACUCUCAGUUGCAUAUUGAAAUGUUCUGGAACCUCGGUCUUUUAAAUUUUAAAUUUCAGAUUCAUGUGUCCACAUAUCUGCAAUGUGUUUUCUAAUUUGUCAUACAUGUAUGUCUCCCAGUUGCAAAAUUAAUGUGUAUUAAAAAUUAUAAUCCUA
RNAcentral lists this long non-coding RNA (6594 nucleotides) under Mus musculus (house mouse). RNAcentral's name for it is "predicted gene, 30511 (Gm30511)". The record is from RNAcentral. Lineage: Eukaryota; Metazoa; Chordata; Mammalia; Rodentia; Muridae.